GAUGAACGCUGGCGGCGUGCCUUAGGCAUGCAAGUCAAACGGGCUCCGCAAGGGGCAAGUGGCAGACGGGUGAGUAAUAGUAAGGUAUCUACCUUUAAGUCGAGGACAUCUCGUCGAAAGACGGGGUAAUCCUGGAUAGUCUCGUAAGAGUAAAGGGAUUAACUUCCCGCUUUUAGAGGAGCCUUACUCCUAUCAGCUAGUUGGUGGGGUAACGGCCUACCAAGGCAAUGACGGGUAGCUGGUGUCAGAGCAUGACCAGCCACAAUGGCACUGAGAUACGGGCCAUACACCUACGGGUGGCAGCAACCGGGAAUCGUCGGCAAUGGGCGAAAGCCUGACCGCGCGACGCCGCGUGAGGGAUGAAGCAUUUCGGUGUGUAAACCUCUUUUACCAGGGAAAGUAAGGAUGGUACCUGGGGAAUAAGCGCCUACUAACUACGUGCCAGCCGCCGCGGUAAUU
This 459-nucleotide ribosomal RNA is filed under the name uncultured bacterium. Its description in RNAcentral is "bacterial SSU rRNA". It matches the Rfam family "Bacterial small subunit ribosomal RNA", at positions 28 to 525 of the family's 1533-position model. The record is from RNAcentral.